Molecule: ribosomal RNA, 254 nt
Filed under: uncultured bacterium
Lineage: Bacteria
Description: partial 16S ribosomal RNA
Rfam family: Bacterial small subunit ribosomal RNA
Source: RNAcentral
UACGGGGGGAGCAAGCGUUGUUCGGAUUUACUGGGCGUAAAGGGCGCGUAGGCGGCCACCGCAAGUCGACUGUGAAAUCUCCGGGCUUAACUCGGAAAGGUCAGCCGAUACUGCGGGGCUAGAGUGCAGAAGGGGCAACUGGAAUUCUCGGUGUAGCGGUGAAAUGCGUAGAUAUCGAGAGGAACACCUGCGGCGAAGGCGGGUUGCUGGGCUGACACUGACGCUGAAGCGCGAAAGCCAGGGGAGCAAACGGG